Molecule: ribosomal RNA, 465 nt
Filed under: uncultured bacterium
Lineage: Bacteria
Description: bacterial SSU rRNA
Rfam family: Bacterial small subunit ribosomal RNA
Source: RNAcentral
CCUACGGGAUGCACCAGUGGGGAAUAUUGCACAAUGGGCGCAAGCCUGAUGCAGCCAUGCCGCGUGUAUGAAGAAGGCCUUCGGGUUGUAAAGUACUUUCAGCGAGGAGGAAGGCGUUAAGGUUAAUAACCUUAGCGAUUGACGUUACUCGCAGAAGAAGCACCGGCUAACUCCGUGCCAGCAGCCGCGGUAAUACGGAGGGUGCAAGCGUUGAUCGGAAUUACUGGGCGUAAAGCGCACGCAGGCGGUCUGUCAAGUCGGAUGUGAAAUCCCCGGGCUUAACCUGGGAAUGGCAUCUAAGACUGGUCAGCUAGAGUCUUGUAGAGGGGGGUAGAAUUCCAUGCGUAGCGGUGAAAUGCGUAGAGAUGUGGAGGAAUACCGGUGGCGAAGGCGGCCCCCUGGACAAAGACUGACGCUCAGGUGCGAAAGCGUGGGGAGCAAACAGGAUUAGAUACCCCUGUAGUC